Molecule: long non-coding RNA, 395 nt
Filed under: Mus caroli (Ryukyu mouse)
Lineage: Eukaryota; Metazoa; Chordata; Mammalia; Rodentia; Muridae
Description: lncRNA (MGP_CAROLIEiJ_G0005792.1)
Source: RNAcentral
GGGAGUGUCACUUGUAUCAGCCUGUGAAGAGCAUCUGUGAAAUACCUACUCACCAUUUCUUGAGUCUUUUAUUUAUAACUUCCAUUCCUAAAUCUUGUUUCUUGAUGAGAACAGCAUCUACUUAACUUCUCAGGUAAUCUGCUGGCUGGGCCUUCACGUUUGAAGCUCCAAGCUCAUGAAUAAUGCAUGGGCGAGAUAGAGAGCUAAGAUGAGUGAGGAGGACUGGCAGACAAAGAAACAAGAGUCUCAAUGACCAAAGAGCCUGUGCAGGAAGCAGUCCCAUGCAGUGUAAGUGCUCCUGUGAAAUGUUCAAUUUCUUGAGAAAUUGCUCAUCCACCAGGAACAUAGCACAGCACUCUUGGUUAGUGGACACUUGAUAAACCAAUUGCAAUUUA